CUGUACUGUACUUGAUAUUAUUAGUUAUUAUACCUGUACUGUACUUGAUAUUAUUAGUUAUUAUACCUGUACUGUACUAGAUAUACUCGGCCUUGUCUCAGGAUGGUGAGGAUGGUAAGUUGGUGGUUGAAGAUAUCCCUCUAGUGGUGUGGGGGCUGUGCUUUGGCAAAGUGGGUGGGGUUAUAUCCUUCCUGUUUGGCCCUGUCCGGGGGUAUCAUCGGAUGGGGCCACAGUGUCUCCUGACCCUUCCUGUCUCAGCCUCCAGUAUUUACGCUGCAGUAGUUUAUGUGUCUGUGUCUGGGCUAGGGUCCGUUUGUUAUAUCUGGAGUACUUCUCCUGUCUUAUCCGGUGUCCUGUGUGAAUUUAAGUAUGCUCUCUCUAAUUCUCUCAUUCUCUCUUUCUUUCUCUCUCUCGGAGGACCUGAGCCCUAGGACCAUGCCUCAGGACUACCUGGCAUGAUGACUCCUUGCUGUACCCAGUCCACCUGGCCGUGCUGCUGCUCCAGUUUCAACUGUUCUGCCUGUGAUUAUUAUUAUUUGACCAUGCUGUUUUCCCGGUUUUGACCAUUCUGCCUGCCCUAAGCCUGCCUGCCUGACCUGACCCUGAGCCUGCCUGCCCUGACCCUGACCCUGACCCUGACCCUGACCCUGCCCCUGACCCCUGACCCUGAGCCUGCCUGCCUGACCUGACCUGACCCUGAGCCUGCCUGCCUGCCUGACCCUGAGCCUGCCUGCCCUGACCCUGAGCCUGAGCCUGCCCUGACCCUGACCCUGAGCCUGCCUGACCUGACCUGACCCUGCCUGACCCUGAGCCUGCCUGCCCUGACCCUGAGCCUGCCUGACCCUGACCCUGAGCUUGCCUGCCCUGACUCUGACCCUGAGCCUGCCUGCCCUGACCCUGAGCCUGCCUGACCUGACCCUGAGCCUGCCUGCCCUGACCCUGAGCCUGAGCCUGCCUGCCUGCCCUGACCCUGAGCAUGCCUGCCCUGACCCUGACCCUGCCUGCUGUUCUGUACCUUUCGGACUCUUCUCUGGAUUACUGACCUCUGUUUGCACUUGACGUGUUGUUUGCCUGCCCCCUUGUUUUUGUAAUAAACGUUUGUUUCUUCGAAA
Molecule: long non-coding RNA, 1112 nt
Organism: Oncorhynchus tshawytscha (Chinook salmon)
Lineage: Eukaryota; Metazoa; Chordata; Actinopteri; Salmoniformes; Salmonidae
Source: Ensembl